RNAcentral lists this ribosomal RNA (253 nucleotides) under uncultured bacterium. Its description in RNAcentral is "partial 16S ribosomal RNA". It matches the Rfam family "Bacterial small subunit ribosomal RNA", at positions 524 to 776 of the family's 1533-position model. The record is from RNAcentral.
UACUGAGGGGGCUAGCGUUGUUCGGAAUUACUGGGCGUAAAGCGCACGUAGGCGGCUUUGCAAGUCAGAGGUGAAAGCCCGGGGCUCAACCCCGGAAUAGCCUUUGAGACUGCAUCGCUUGAACAUCGGAGAGGUAAGUGGAAUUCCGAGUGUAGAGGUGAAAUUCGUAGAUAUUCGGAAGAACACCAGUGGCGAAGGCGACUUACUGGACGAUUGUUGACGCUGAGGUGCGAAAGCGUGGGGAGCAAACAGG